Long non-coding RNA from Oncorhynchus tshawytscha (Chinook salmon), 515 nucleotides. Lineage: Eukaryota; Metazoa; Chordata; Actinopteri; Salmoniformes; Salmonidae. The record is from Ensembl.
AGAACUGUCUUUAUAAAUCAGAGAAAAUCAGAGUGGUCUUUAUAAAUCAGUGAGGCCCCACACUGCUACAUUAUAACUGGCCAGGGGCCCCACACUGCUACAUCAUCAAUGGCCAGGGGCCCCACACUGCUGCAUCAUAACUGGCCAGGGGCCCCACACUGCUACAUCAUCACUGGCCAGGGGCCCCACACUCCUACAUCAUAACUGGCCAGGGGCCCCACACUGCUACAUCAUCACUGGCCAGGGGCCCCACACUGCUACAUCAUAACUGGCCAGGGGCCCCACACUGCUACAUCAUCACUGGCCAGGGGCCCCACACUGCUACAUCAUACCAUUAAUAUCACAUCAUAACUGACCAGGGAGCCCACACUGCUACAUCAUCACUGGCCAGGGGCCCCACACUGCUACAUCAUCACUGGCCAGGGGCCCCACACUGCUACAUCAUACCAUUAAUAUCACAUCAUAACUGACCAGGGGCCCCACACUGCUACACCAUAACUGGCCAGGGGCCCCAC